GAACAAAUACAGCUUACAAAACAAGCUCCGUGCUAACAGAAGUGUUCUUGCUGCUGCCAGCCGGUUCUUUUCCAUCCUGUUACCUGAUUGUGAGUUAGACCUAGAUGUCUGCAUCUCAAUUGAUCUGAGCUUUGAAGAACUGUUUUGUGUUCUUGAGUACAUCUAUUCUGGG
Daphnia magna is the source of this 172-nucleotide long non-coding RNA. RefSeq lists it as uncharacterized. Lineage: Eukaryota; Metazoa; Arthropoda; Branchiopoda; Diplostraca; Daphniidae. The transcript has 2 exons. The record is from RefSeq and is a predicted model, not a curated record.